AGUGGCGAACGGGUGAGUAAUAUAUCGGAACGUAUCCAAUAAUGGGGGAUAACUAAUCGAAAGGUUGGCUAAUACCGCAUACGCCCUACGGGGGAAAGCUAGGGACCUUCGGGCCUGGCGUUAAUGGAGCGGCCGAUAUCUGAUUAGCUAGUUGGUGGGGUAAAGGCCCACCAAGGCGACGAUCAGUAGCUGGUCCUGAAAGGACGACCAGCCACACUGGAACUGAGACACGGUCCAGACUCCUACGGAAGGCAGCAGUGGGAAUUUUUUGGACGAGGGGCGCAAGCCUGAUCCACCCAUUCCGCGUGAGUGAAGAAGGCCUUCGGGUUGUAAAGCUCUUUCGCAAGGGAAGAAAACUUAUCCUCUAACAUAGGAUGAGGUUGACGGUACCUUGAUAAGAAGCACCGGCUAACUACGUGCCAGCAGCCGCGGUAAUACGUAGGGUGCGAGCGUUAAUCGGAAUUACUGGGCGUAAAGCGUGCGCAGGCGGUUUUGUAAGUCAGAUGUGAAAUCCCCGAGCUCAACUUGGGAACUGCGUUUGAAACUACAAGACUAGAAUAUGUCAGAGGGGGGUAGAAUUCCACGUGUAGCAGUGAAAUGCGUAGAGAUGUGGAGGAAUACCAAUGGCGAAGGCAGCCCCCUGGGAUAAUAUUGACGCUCAUGCACGAAAGC
Molecule: ribosomal RNA, 672 nt
Filed under: uncultured bacterium
Lineage: Bacteria
Description: bacterial SSU rRNA
Rfam family: Bacterial small subunit ribosomal RNA
Source: RNAcentral